UGGACCUCUGAAACACUAGCUGUGGG
RNAcentral lists this non-coding RNA (26 nucleotides) under Rattus norvegicus (Norway rat). The record is from RNAcentral. Lineage: Eukaryota; Metazoa; Chordata; Mammalia; Rodentia; Muridae.